AUAGCACGGCUGUGGAUCCAUUCCUUCCUUUUCACUGUGGCUUUCUGCCCUUGCUUUUGCAACACUAGUCCUGCAUAUAGCAAUUGUGUAGUGGUGGGCAGGUCACUCUAGUGAGUGGUUUCCAAAUGCUUGAAAGAUGAACUCUGUCCCCUUCCAGGAAAUUUAACUGAUCAUGCUUCCCAUCAUAACUCAACUAUAUGUUAUUAAAAGGUAUAAUUAAUACAUCUUCCAUGUCCUCUGGCAAGUCCUUUGUGGCCUGCUACAUUCCCACUGUGGGAAAUGCUGAUGUAGAUCUUCAGAAUAUGAUACUUUAAUUCCCUUAUUAUGGUGAAAUAGUUAACAAGGUAAAUAUUUAAAGCAGGGGUCAGCAACCUCUGGCACGCAGCUCGCCAGAGUAAGAACCCUGGCGGGCUGGGCCAGUUUAUUUACCGGCUGAUGCAGCAGGUUUGGCCAAUUGUGGCCCCUACUGGCCACGGUUCGCUGUCCCAGGCCAAUAGGGGUGGCGGGAAGCUGCGGCCAGCACAUCCCUCACCCGCGCAGCUUCCCGUCGCCCCUAUUGGCUUACCCUGGUGCUUACCCUGGUGAGCCCCGUGCCAGAGGUUGCUGACCCCUGAUUUAAAGAAUCAUCAUUUGAGUGAGUUAGCAUCCACUGGAAUGAAUGAGGCAGUUCACGUUAGAACUAAUUUUUGAGACUUUGCAAAUUCAGGAAGUAGUCUGCAUCAGUUUGACUUGGGUCAUAUUUUGAAAGCUUUCUUCACACCCAUAAACAGCUGAUAUUCUGAUAUGCUGAAGAAUAGCUGAGAGGACAGUCAGCUCUCUCCUGGCUAAUAUUUGAUGACCUCCCCCAAUGGGAUGUGCCCCACAUUCUGAAAAAUGCUGCCCUAAACACUGUUUGUUGUAUGCUACACAUCUUUUAUCUCUUCUGAUCUUACUUGCACCUUUCUUGUGCACACUAGCUCCACAGCUCACAAAAUGACAGAUCCUAUUUAUUGUUUGUUUCAACACAGCCGAUGUUUGAUCAAGGGCUCUGCUCAAGACACACUCUCCUCUGACUUUCCUUAUCGGAUAGGAACAGCUGCAUGGUCCAUUAGCAGUGAAAACAUCAGCCAGAAUAGCCAGAUGUGUUCGCUUGAACACACGUUAACAGAGCCAUUUGUGUCCCUUAGACUUCAUUGCACUUUAUUUCAUUGGUUCGUUUUAACCCAGCGAUUUGACAUUGCUUCUAAGGACUGCCUUUCCUGAAGCCAACAGACUGGUGUUUAAUGACUUCAGACACAAGGCCCUGAAGAGUUUUGAAAUACUGGAGUGAAGUUUUAUUUUGUUCUGUUCCCAGAUUUUCUUGCUAUCCCCAAUUCCAUAACUUGGAAAAUGUGAGCAGGGGUACAGACUUCAGUAGAUAAAGGGUGUGUGUGUAAGCUCGGUGGCUUACAGAUGUUUGCUAUCUGAAAUGCGUCAAUCUUGAUGACAUCUCAGUAUUCAGUGGAUAACAAAUGGACUGCGUCUGCCAUGGUGGCCCAAUCAUAUGUGGCACGGCCGUGCUUUGAAUGUGCAGCAAGGCAUAUCAGGUCGAAGCCAUCAAUCUUGUAUUGACCAGCUUCAUUAAAUAAAACAUGAGUUUCUUGUAUUCA
Molecule: long non-coding RNA, 1628 nt
Organism: Chrysemys picta bellii (western painted turtle)
Lineage: Eukaryota; Metazoa; Chordata; Testudines; Emydidae
Source: Ensembl